AAGUCGUAACAAGGUUUCCGUAGGUGAACCUGCGGAAGGAUCAUUAUCGAGAGACGGGGUCUAACCGGCCCCAACUCCUCACCCUUGAACGUCAAAGCAUAGUUGCUUUGGUGGGUCGAAUAGAACUCGCCAGAGUCCCAUAUAAAUCCUGCUAUCGGUGAUCUCUGAGUGAUUAUUCAAUUGAAAAAAAAAAACUUUCAACAACGGAUCUCUUGGUUCUG
Molecule: unclassified non-coding RNA, 221 nt
Filed under: air metagenome
Description: partial contains small subunit ribosomal RNA, internal transcribed spacer 1, and 5.8S ribosomal RNA
Rfam family: Eukaryotic small subunit ribosomal RNA (bases 1-46)
Source: RNAcentral